Molecule: ribosomal RNA, 292 nt
Filed under: uncultured bacterium
Lineage: Bacteria
Description: partial 16S ribosomal RNA
Rfam family: Bacterial small subunit ribosomal RNA
Source: RNAcentral
GUGCCAGCAGCCGCGGUAAUACGGAGGGUGCAAGCGUUAUCCGGAUUCACUGGGUUUAAAGGGUGCGUAGGUGGAGUGGUAAGUCAGUGGUGAAAUCUCCAAGCUUAACUUGGAAACUGCCGUUGAUACUAUCAUUCUUGAAUAUCGUGGAGGUAAGCGGAAUAUGUCAUGUAGCGGUGAAAUGCUUAGAUAUGACAUAGAACACCGAUUGCGAAGGCAGCUUGCUACACGAUCAUUGACACUGAGGCACGAAAGCGUGGGGAUCAAACAGGAUUAGAUACCCGGGUAGUCC